This 212-nucleotide unclassified non-coding RNA is filed under the name plant metagenome. RNAcentral's name for it is "partial contains small subunit ribosomal RNA, internal transcribed spacer 1, and 5.8S ribosomal RNA". The record is from RNAcentral.
GUUUCCGUAGGUGAACCUGCGGAAGGAUCAUUCAUAAUAAAGUGUUUUAUGGCACUUUUUAAAAAUCCAUAUCCACCUUGUGUGCAAUGUUAGAUCUCGUCAAUCUUGGCGAGAUUUUUAUACAUCAACUCAUUCUGUAACUAAUUUGUCUGAAAAAUAUUAUGAAUACUUAAUUCAAAAUACAACUUUCAACAACGGAUCUCUUGGCUCUC